UACAGAGACUGCAAGCGUUAUUCGGAUUCACUGGGCGUAAAGGGUGCGCAGGCGGCCAAGUGUGUGAGGCGUGAAAGCCCGGGGCUUAACCCCGGAAUUGCACCUCAAACUACAUGGCUAGAGCAUUGGAGAGGGGAGCGGAAUUCACGGUGUAGCAGUGAAAUGCGUAGAUAUCGUGAGGAACACCAGAGGCGAAGGCGGCUACCUGGACAAUUGCUGACGCUCAGGCACGAAAGCGUGGGGAGCAAAAGGG
Molecule: ribosomal RNA, 253 nt
Filed under: uncultured bacterium
Lineage: Bacteria
Description: partial 16S ribosomal RNA
Rfam family: Bacterial small subunit ribosomal RNA
Source: RNAcentral